UUCGCGAUGGUGUUUUCCCUGACACCAUCACUCGAGGCUACGUUUACCAGGUAGCAAUCGCUUUUAAAAUUUGUUUCGUCGAGCGAUCCUAUUACGAUUGCGGAAUCUGCCUAGUGUUUCCAAAGUGACGCUCGACCGCAUGGCAGAAAACAGGCGAGAUCUAUCUUCCUCAGUCGAUGUCAAGGCUAUGUGGAUUUCCCAUGGAUGAUUUUCCAUGCCUUCCAAAUGGCUUGGGGCAAGGAUGAGGAUUCCGAUGGCGCGAGUCCGGUGAGCAAUCUAGUUGAAUUGGAGGGUGAGCCGGAGCAAACCUCAAGUGCUAAAUACGUUCCUCCUCACCAGCGAAAGCGAGAUCCUUCCGAGGAUGAAGUUCGCGUCAAAAGAAGAAUCAAAGGUAAAACGCACUUGAAAGCCCUGUUGUUUCUACGUGGGGUGAUUUUAUAGCAGGAGCUUCAUGACCGAGACGAUCACUGAUCAUGUCUUGAAGUCUUGCUCCAGUGGUCCCCGUGGUAACGAGCAGUGAGCACAGUAAUGCUUCUCUCACGCUGCUCUCUGUCCUCACAUAUUAUAGUUUCAUGGAUAAAUUUACGAAGCAGUCUUUGCAGCGAGCAUCUCUGGCAUCGCUUGUCUCGUCGGGAUGGAUUUCGGUGCUAAUUUUAUGGCGGGGCUUUGAGGUGAAACUCCUGGAGGCGUUUUUCAAAUGGGACGACGCGCUGAUUUUUCGGUUCUUAUGUUUACGUUUUACUGCAGAGACAAUAUGAAAAGGUCUAGCUGUUCGCAACCUUACGCUUCUUGAUUCUUCGCUCUACAGCUUGGGAUUGAUUACAAGCGAGCUGGUAUACUUUUGCACCUCCUCUGCAAACGAUUCCAGGAAAUAGAUGCCCAUCGAUGAAAGAGUUCAUUCUUGCUGUUCAAGAACGCACGUCGGAUUUAUUCCACGACCGUGGG
Long non-coding RNA from Selaginella moellendorffii, 945 nucleotides. RefSeq lists it as uncharacterized. Lineage: Eukaryota; Viridiplantae; Streptophyta; Lycopodiopsida; Selaginellales; Selaginellaceae. The record is from RefSeq and is a predicted model, not a curated record. The transcript has 4 exons.